UGAAAACAGCGCCACGGCCUGGCAUCCUGCAGC
RNAcentral lists this small RNA (33 nucleotides) under Bombyx mori (domestic silkworm). RNAcentral's name for it is "ovarian small RNA-30310". Lineage: Eukaryota; Metazoa; Arthropoda; Insecta; Lepidoptera; Bombycidae. The record is from RNAcentral.